AUAUUGCGCAAUGGGCGAAAGCCUGACGCAGCCACGCCGCGUGAGUGAUGAAGGCCUUCGGGUUGUAAAGCUCUUUUACCCGGGAUGAUAAUGACAGUACCGGGAGAAUAAGCCCCGGCUAACUCCGUGCCAGCAGCCGCGGUAAUACGGAGGGGGCUAGCGUUGUUCGGAAUUACUGGGCGUAAAGCGCACGUAGGCGGCGAUUUAAGUCAGAGGUGAAAGCCCGGGGCUCAACCCCGGAAUAGCCUUUGAGACUGGAUUGCUUGAACAUCGGAGAGGUGAGUGGAAUUCCGAGUGUAGAGGUGAAAUUCGUAGAUAUUCGGAAGAACACCAGUGGCGAAGGCGGCUCACUGGACGAUUGUUGACGCUGAGGUGCGAAAGCGUGGGGAGCAAACAGG
This 398-nucleotide ribosomal RNA is filed under the name uncultured bacterium. RNAcentral's name for it is "bacterial SSU rRNA". It matches the Rfam family "Bacterial small subunit ribosomal RNA", at positions 361 to 776 of the family's 1533-position model. The record is from RNAcentral.